AGCCCCUUCGGGGGUGGAUUAGUGGCGAACGGGUGAGUAACACGUGGGCAAUCUGCCCUGCACUCUGGGACAAGCCCUGGAAACGGGGUCUAAUACCGGAUACGACACAGGGAGGCAUCUCCUCUGUGUGGAAAGCUCCGGCGGUGCAGGAUGAGCCCGCGGCCUAUCAGCUUGUUGGUGAGGUAACGGCUCACCAAGGCGACGACGGGUAGCCGGCCUGAGAGGGCGACCGGCCACACUGGGACUGAGACACGGCCCAGACUCCUACGGGAGGCAGCAGUGGGGAAUAUUGCACAAUGGGCGCAAGCCUGAUGCAGCGACGCCGCGUGAGGGAUGACGGCCUUCGGGUUGUAAACCUCUUUCAGCAGGGAAGAAGCGCAAGUGACGGUACCUGCAGAAGAAGCGCCGGCUAACUACGUGCCAGCAGCCGCGGUAAUACGUAGGGCGCAAGCGUUGUCCGGAAUUAUUGGGCGUAAAGAGCUCGUAGGCGGCUUGUCGCGUCGGUUGUGAAAGCCCGGGGCUUAACUCCGGGUCUGCAGUCGAUACGGGCAGGCUAGAGUUCGGUAGGGGAGAUCGGAAUUCCUGGUGUAGCGGUGAAAUGCGCAGAUAUCAGGAGGAACACCGGUGGCGAAGGCGGAUCUCUGGGCCGAUACUGACGCUGAGGAGCGAAAGCGUGGGGAGCGAACAGGAUUAGAUACCC
Molecule: ribosomal RNA, 700 nt
Filed under: Streptomyces sp. DRL372
Lineage: Bacteria; Bacillati; Actinomycetota; Actinomycetes; Kitasatosporales; Streptomycetaceae
Description: bacterial SSU rRNA
Rfam family: Bacterial small subunit ribosomal RNA
Source: RNAcentral